This 495-nucleotide ribosomal RNA is filed under the name uncultured bacterium. RNAcentral describes it as "partial 16S ribosomal RNA". It matches the Rfam family "Bacterial small subunit ribosomal RNA", at positions 28 to 505 of the family's 1533-position model. The record is from RNAcentral.
GAUGAACGCUGGCGGCGUGCCUAAUACAUGCAAGUCGAGCGAACGGACGAGAAGCUUGCUUCUCUGAUGUUAGCGGCGGACGGGUGAGUAACACGUGGAUAACCUACCUAUAAGACUGGGAUAACUUCGGGAAACCGGAGCUAAUACCGGAUAAUAUUUUGAACCGCAUGGUUCAAAAGUGAAAGACGGUCUUGCUGUCACUUAUAGAUGGAUCCGCGCUGCAUUAGCUAGUUGGUAAGGUAACGGCUUACCAAGGCAACGAUGCAUAGCCGACCUGAGAGGGUGAUCGGCCACACUGGAACUGAGACACGGUCCAGACUCCUACGGGAGGUAGCAGUAGGGAAUCUUCCGCAAUGGGCGAAAGCCUGACGGAGCAACGCCGCGUGAGUGAUGAAGGUCUUCGGAUCGUAAAACUCUGUUAUUAGGGAAGAACAUAUGUGUAAGUAACUGUGCACAUCUUGACGGUACCUAAUCAGAAAGCCACGGCUAACUACG